This 440-nucleotide ribosomal RNA is filed under the name uncultured bacterium. RNAcentral's name for it is "partial 16S ribosomal RNA". It matches the Rfam family "Bacterial small subunit ribosomal RNA", at positions 338 to 795 of the family's 1533-position model. The record is from RNAcentral.
CCUACGGGAGGCAGCAGUGGGGAAUAUUGCACAAUGGGGGAAACCCUGAUGCAGCGACGCCGCGUGAGUGAUGAAGUAUUUCGGUAUGUAAAGCUCUAUCAGCAGGGAAGAUAAUGACGGUACCUGACUAAGAAGCUCCGGAGAAAUACGGGCUAGAAGCCGCGGUAAUACGUAUGGAGCAAGCGUUAGCCGGAUUUACUGGGUGGAAAGGGAGCGGAGACGGCAGGGCAAGUCUGAUGUGAAAGUCCGGGGCUCAACCCCGGGACUGCAUUGGAAACUGUCCGGCUAGAGUGCAAGAGAGGUAAGUGGAAUUCCUAGUGUAGCGGUGAAAUGCGUAGAUAUUAGGAGGAACACCAGUGGCGAAGGCGGCUUACUGGACUGAAACUGACGUUGAGGCUCGAAAGCGUGGGGAGCAAACAGGAUUAGAUACCCCUGUAGUC